CGCUGCUAUAAUGCAGUCGAGCGAACAGAUAAGGAGCUUGCUCCUUUGACGUUAGCGGCGGACGGGUGAGUAACACGUGGGUAACCUACCUAUAAGACUGGGAUAACUUCGGGAAACCGGAGCUAAUACCGGAUAAUAUUUCGAACCGCAUGGUUCGAUAGUGAAAGAUGGUUUUGCUAUCACUUAUAGAUGGACCCGCGCCGUAUUAGCUAGUUGGUAAGGUAACGGCUUACCAAGGCGACGAUACGUAGCCGACCUGAGAGGGUGAUCGGCCACACUGGAACUGAGACACGGUCCAGACUCCUACGGGAGGCAGCAGUAGGGAAUCUUCCGCAAUGGGCGAAAGCCUGACGGAGCAACGCCGCGUGAGUGAUGAAGGUCUUCGGAUCGUAAAACUCUGUUAUUAGGGAAGAACAUACGUGUAAGUAACUGUGCACGUCUUGACGGUACCUAAUCAGAAAGCCACGGCUAACUACGUGCCAGCAGCCGCGGUAAUACGUAGGUGGCAAGCGUUAUCCGGAAUUAUUGGGCGUAAAGCGCGCGUAGGCGGUUUUUUAAGUCUGAUGUGAAAGCCCACGGCUCAACCGUGGAGGGUCAUUGGAAACUGGAAAACUUGAGUGCAGAAGAGGAAAGUGGAAUUCCCAUGUGUAGCGGUGAAAUGCGCAGAGAUAUGGAGGAACACCAGUGGCGAAGGCGACUUUCUGGUCUGUAACUGACGCUGAUGUGCGAAAGCGUGGGGAUCAAACAGGAUUAGAUACCCUGGUAGUCCACGCCGUAAACGAUGAGUGCUAAGUGUUAGGGGGUUUCCGCCCCUUAGUGCUGCAGCUAACGCAUUAAGCACUCCGCCUGGGGAGUACGACCGCAAGGUUGAAACUCAAAGGAAUUGACGGGGACCCGCACAAGCGGUGGAGCAUGUGGUUUAAUUCGAAGCAACGCGAAGAACCUUACCAAAUCUUGACAUCCUUUGACAACUCUAGAGAUAGAGCUUUCCCCUUCGGGGGACAAAGUGACAGGUGGUGCAUGGUUGUCGUCAGCUCGUGUCGUGAGAUGUUGGGUUAAGUCCCGCAACGAGCGCAACCCUUAAGCUUAGUUGCCAUCAUUAAGUUGGGCACUCUAAGUUGACUGCCGGUGACAAACCGGAGGAAGGUGGGGAUGACGUCAAAUCAUCAUGCCCCUUAUGAUUUGGGCUACACACGUGCUACAAUGGACAAUACAAAGGGCAGCGAAACCGCGAGGUCAAGCAAAUCCCAUAAAGUUGUUCUCAGUUCGGAUUGUAGUCUGCAACUCGACUACAUGAAGCUGGAAUCGCUAGUAAUCGUAGAUCAGCAUGCUACGGUGAAUACGUUCCCGGGUCUUGUACACACCGCCCGUCACACCACGAGAGUUUGUAACACCCGAAGCCGGUGGAGUAACCAUUGGAGCUAGCCGUCGAAGUGA
Molecule: ribosomal RNA, 1437 nt
Filed under: Staphylococcus haemolyticus
Lineage: Bacteria; Bacillati; Bacillota; Bacilli; Caryophanales; Staphylococcaceae
Description: bacterial SSU rRNA
Rfam family: Bacterial small subunit ribosomal RNA
Source: RNAcentral